GGCCCAUUGGUCAAGCGGUUAAGACGCUAGCCUCUCACGCUGGAAACUCGGGUUCGAUUCCCGGAUGGGUCACCA
Molecule: transfer RNA, 75 nt
Filed under: Clostridia bacterium
Lineage: Bacteria; Bacillati; Bacillota; Clostridia
Also listed under: 2 other names
Description: tRNA-Glu
Rfam family: tRNA
About the family: Transfer RNA (tRNA) molecules are approximately 80 nucleotides in length. Their secondary structure includes four short double-helical elements and three loops (D, anti-codon, and T loops).
Source: RNAcentral